CCUCAACCUCCUCUGCUCCCUCCUGCUCCUUUGCCCAGGCCCCUCUCGGCCUCUGCUCAAUGGAGUGGCCGACGAGCGAGGAUUGAUGCCCGCUACUGAAUUCCCUGAAUUCCUUCUCGUUCCUCUAUUUUUCCCCCGAUCAAUUGACGCCCUAAUCUCCCUGAUUUUGAGCCUGUGUUGUUGGAUCGCAGGUCCUGGUCGCAGCCGUGCAGCUAGACGGCGCACACCGGAGCUCGGGGUACGCAGCCGCGGCGGAGCUGCUCCGGCGUAGACCCGCGGCCUGGUGCUCUACUGCCACUCCUGCGCUUUCCCCAUUACUCCCGUUCCCCAAGUCGAACUGGUACUACUGAACUGCACCCAUCUGGCCGAUCUAGUUCAGACAUCAGAGUUAGACAUUUUCCACUGUGGUGCGGUUUUCUACAGUGCUGGAUUUGCUUGUGCACCUUGGGCCCUUGUGGUUAAAUUUUUUCCCAGAACACAUGCUGUCAAGAUUAAUAGUCAGUGCACCCUAAACCAUCAUCUCUAAAAAAAAUCUUUUAGACCUAUGUAGUUACUUCUCCCUGUCUCCAGAAUGACCGCAGGAUCAAAUGAUUCACAUGGUGACUGCUACAACUUGACGAGAAGUUAAGGCCUGCCGUGAGGGCGUGUAACUGCUAGUAGUGUUCAGAUUUGCUUCACAUCAGACCUUCAGCAAACUCCAAACAUAAUGCAGAAGUUCAGCUACAAUAUUGUACAGAGUUGUGGAGCUUAGCCCUUCAGAGGUCGUGAGAUAUCGAAGUACAUCUCAGCACAUAAGAAAUAGGAGUAAUAUUUAUGACCAGCAGUCCAGCAUCAAGCAAACUCAAAAGUACCACACUCCAAGACAGGAUAACAAAACAUAACCACAUAGAACAAGAUUCAAACUUAGACACACGUGUCUCAGCACAGCAGUGGGGCCGUCAAGAGUGGAAGAGCGAUGCAUGCUACAGUCGAGGUAGAAAGGAGCCAAGGGGUCCGCACCAGCCACAGCGCGGAGAGAGUUCAAGUGUAAGUGAACUUGAGGCAGUCCAACACUCGACUCCUGAAGGCAGUGGAGACGAGGUCACUGGAUCUUGAGACUGUUGGAAAACGAAGCUUCAUUCUCCCAGCCUGCAUCCGAAUUAAAUUACUCAAGGAUACAAUGAAAUGAAUGACCAAAAUAUCAUAAAUUAAUGUUUACAAAAGGUUUUCUGUGAGAGUGAUGUAUGCCAUUUACCUUUGCAUUUAUUUAUAGCUGUGAAUCUGAAAUCACAGUUCAUUCGAUUUCCUUGCAGCGGAUACUCGCAAUCUUUGGCCAGCUUUCUCCAUCGGGUGUUUGGCAGCUCUCCUUCAAGCGCUCACAACGCCG
This 1366-nucleotide long non-coding RNA is filed under the name Triticum aestivum (bread wheat). RNAcentral describes it as "long non-coding RNA (TAES_LNC026322)". Lineage: Eukaryota; Viridiplantae; Streptophyta; Magnoliopsida; Poales; Poaceae. The record is from RNAcentral.